AUUGCUUCUCGGCCUUUUGGCUAAGAUCAAGUGUAAUUUGACAUUAGCACCAUUUGUUAAUUAGUGAUUUUUUUAUCUUGUGCAAUUAUAGCUCUAUUCAGAAAAUUUUUUAUCUAUGCUGUCAGAGUUUUACAUAGUUUUUCUUCCAGCAGAAUAAUG
RNAcentral lists this small nuclear RNA (159 nucleotides) under Cavia porcellus (domestic guinea pig). RNAcentral describes it as "U2 spliceosomal RNA". It matches the Rfam family "U2 spliceosomal RNA". From Rfam's summary of the family: U2 is a small nuclear RNA (snRNA) component of the spliceosome (involved in pre-mRNA splicing). Complementary binding between U2 snRNA (in an area lying towards the 5' end but 3' to hairpin I) and the branchpoint sequence (BPS) of the intron results the bulging out of an unpaired adenosine, on the BPS, which initiates a nucleophilic attack at the intronic 5' splice site, thus starting the first of two transesterification reactions that mediate splicing. Lineage: Eukaryota; Metazoa; Chordata; Mammalia; Rodentia; Caviidae. The record is from Rfam by way of RNAcentral.